GAUGAACGCUGGCGGCGUGCCUAAUACAUGCAAGUCGAGCGAACGGACGAGAAGCUUGCUUCUCUGAUGUUAGCGGCGGACGGGUGAGUAACACGUGGAUAACCUACCUAUAAGACUGGGAUAACUUCGGGAAACCGGAGCUAAUACCGGAUAAUAUUAUGAACCGCAUGGUUCAAAAGUGAAAGACGGUCUUGCUGUCACUUAUAGAUGGAUCCGCGCUGCAUUAGCUAGUUGGUAAGGUAACGGCUUACCAAGGCAACGAUGCAUAGCCGACCUGAGAGGGUGAUCAGCCACACUGGAACUGAGACACGGUCCAGACUCCUACGGGAGGCAGCAGUAGGGAAUCUUCCGCAAUGGGCGAAAGCCUGACGGAGCAACGCCGCGUGAGUGAUGAAGGUCUUCGGAUCGUAAAGCUCUGUUAGUAGGGAAGAACAUAUGUGUAAGUAACUGUGCACAUCUUGACGGUACCUAAUCAGAAAGCCACGGCUAACUACGUG
This 497-nucleotide ribosomal RNA is filed under the name uncultured bacterium. Its description in RNAcentral is "partial 16S ribosomal RNA". It matches the Rfam family "Bacterial small subunit ribosomal RNA", at positions 28 to 507 of the family's 1533-position model. The record is from RNAcentral.